RNAcentral lists this ribosomal RNA (727 nucleotides) under Acacia concurrens. Its description in RNAcentral is "eukaryotic LSU rRNA". The stretch from base 316 to 471 matches the Rfam family "5.8S ribosomal RNA". Lineage: Eukaryota; Viridiplantae; Streptophyta; Magnoliopsida; Fabales; Fabaceae. The record is from RNAcentral.
CGACGUCGCGAGAAGUCCACUGAACCUUAUCAUUUAGAGGAAGGAGAAGUCGUAACAAGGUUUCCGUAGGUGAACCUGCGGAAGGAUCAUUGUCGCAUCCACGCAAAAAGAGCGACCCGCGAACCGGUUGGAACGAACCUCCCGACGGCGGGGGGAGGGCGAGGGCGCGCCCGAGUCCCUCCUCCCCCGGCAACCAAACCCCGGCGCCCCAGGCGCCAAGGAACAGAGAAUGAAAGCGAGGCGCGCUCGCUGGCGGCCCGGGAACGGCGCCGAUCGCCCAGCGUCGCGCCUCUUGCCAUCUUGUGCAUCCGAAACGACUCUCGGCAACGGAUAUCUCGGCUCUCGCAUCGAUGAAGAACGUAGCGAAAUGCGAUACUUGGUGUGAAUUGCAGAAUCCCGUGAACCAUCGAGUCUUUGAACGCAAGUUGCGCCCGAAGCCGUCAGGCCGAGGGCACGCCUGCCUGGGCGUCACGCACCGUCGCCAGCGCCCGAUCCCCCGGGCGCGGCGGACGAUGGCCUCCCGGGAGCCUCGCCUCCCGGCUGGCCGAAAAGGGGGCCCAACGUGGCGACCGCCACGAUCCACGGUGGUUGAGUGAACACUCGCUCGAGGCCAAGACGUGCGCGCGUCGUCCCACCGGUCUUGGGCCCGUCGGCAGGGCGUGUUACCGCCGCUGCCCGCUCGUACGCGACCCCAGGUCAGGCGGGGCUACCCGCUGAGUUUAAGCAU